Molecule: non-coding RNA, 2360 nt
Organism: Miniopterus natalensis
Lineage: Eukaryota; Metazoa; Chordata; Mammalia; Chiroptera; Miniopteridae
Source: RefSeq, a predicted model, not a curated record
ACAUGAGUUACACCAAGCUCAGUAUGUGAGGUACAAGGCAAUAUGUCAGGGCCUUCUGCCCGGGCAUUGGGUUUGAGGAGUGGCUGACUGAUCCUCUUUGGAAUGAGUUGGGUCAGGCCUGUUUGUCUACAGUUUCCAUGAACUUACGGAAGAUCUGGGUCCAUUAGAAGCCGUGUCCCCAGUUAGCUCUGCAGACCCUGGAGAGUUGAGCACCAAAUCCAGCUCUAUUACCCUUCCAGGAAGUCUCCAUCCAUUCUCCUCAUCUGAGAAGCUGAAUUUAUGCAGGGAUUUCCAGUAGUAAGAGGCUUAGCUCUAUCUUUAUUGGCAGCAGGCUGCAUACUUUUGAUAAGUUAGUCUCUUGUUGCCACCAGUGGAAUGAACAGGGAAAUGCACCUAUGUACCUGCAAAAGUCUGUAGUGUGUACAGCCUUGAACUUAAUGGCUCUGCAGUAGAGGGUGAUGGGUCACAAACAGUUUUAAUCCAUCCACUAAUAGACCUAGGUACUAUCCUAAACUUUGUAAAUUGGCCUAGAGCUUCUGUGGGAAACAUUGGUGAUUAGCUUUUUCUUGAGGAACCUUUCUUUCAUGAACCUGGGGUGACCUAUGUAGUGCAUUUGAUGGAACAAAAUCAUUCUACCAUCAAAUGCCUCUACCAAAUAGCUGGUAAGCUGUGACUCCACCAUUUAUUGGGGCUAACAAAUGGUAGAGAUCUAUUCCAGAUACUUCCAGCCCAGUAGAAAUAAUCCUAAAAAUAUCCAAAUCCUGCUCUAUUGUUUCAGUUCUCUCUAUAGGGCCCCAAGAGGAGAUCUAGACAUAGCACAAUUAAAGGCUUCUAAGUACUUCUUUAGGGCUGAGCCCACUCUUUCAUUAGGGUUUUAGAAGAGUUGGUUAGUAUAGAUAAACUUGGUCUGAAGGUCCAAGUGGGACAUUCUAUGUCCGCGUAUCUAAAUGUUAGGCUUUUUACAUCCACUGAUUUUUUGCAUGGUAUAAGCACUCAAAGCAGCGAGCAGUAUAAACAAAGAAAAGAGUGGAGGAGAGAGGAGAAAAUGGUUUCCAAGAAAAACAUUGAAACAAUGUGAGAAAGGGUACCUCAGAGGACAGAGCCAGGAACUGUAGAGAACAAUGAACUGGGGAUCUUUCCCAUCCCCUACCCCCUCUCAGUUUGCUGCCCCUUCCCCUGGGAACAGAACUAAGGUCUAAUCAAGAAACAUUUCUGGCUCCCAUGUCAGGGGAACUUGACUGAUUUCCCUAGAGGGAUUUUAGAAUUGUUAAAGACUAAGUUUCAUCUCUUUGAAUGGGGAUGUUUAUUGUGAUUUUCCUGUUCCUGUUAUACCAUUGCAUAUUCCUAUGGGUAUGGGGAAGGAAUGGGCCAAUAAUUUGUCUUUUUAGUUCAUAGGUCCAAUUCACAUCUGGACCAGAUGUAGAUGAUGAAAUCCUAAAUGUGUCUGAUACCAUGAUUAUUGGGUGAAGACUUCUGGGUGUCCUUUGUUGGUAAUGGAGAUGUUUUCCUAGAGGAGGGAUGUGAACAUGUGGCCAAGGAGGUGGACAGCUGUUGACUGAAUUAUUGGCCCAAGUUUGUUAUGUCUUUCUGCCCUACAUCAUUAUCAUGGCCCUAUCAUGGGCAGAGUAUACUUCCCUGCCUUGUGACCUUGGGCUUGGCCUCUUGCUUUGAUCAAUGAAAUAGGGCUGAAAUGAUAGUGUCAAUUUUUAGUUAAGGUCUCAAAAGACUUUGAGUGUUUCUUCUGGUCUUCUGUGCUUCUGCCAUUGCUUGAGAAGAACAUGCCCCAGGAAGCCCUCUGGUUCAGAAAGGAUGAAAGACCAUGGAGAAGACUCAGACCCGCACACCUGCAGAACAAAGCAGAGAUGCCCAGUCUAGUUGGAGAGACCUCUGAAGCAGCACCAGAGUCGGAAGGAAGAAGAGUGGGCCGGCUGGAAAAGAUGAAAGCCAAAGGCCCGACAAAGCACCGAGAAGAAUUCAGCUGCAUGUCAUGAGGAUGCUUAAGCAACCUAUAGAGCGGUUCAUGUAUGAGAACCUGAAGCCUCCUGCCAACAGCCAGCACUAACCUGAGAGCCGUGUGAGUGAGCUCCUCUGGAAGUGAUCCUCCAGCACCAGUCAAGCCUUCAGAUGACCACAACCCAGGUUGGCAUCUUGACUACAACCUAAUGACACUCUGAGCCAGAACUACUCAGAUAAGCCACUCCUCGAUUCCUGACCCAUAGAAACUGUGUGUGAUAAUACAUGUUCAUUGUUUUAAGCUACUAAUGUUUCGGGGUAAUUUGUUACACAGCAUUAGAUAGCUAAUAUAAUGUGUGACAGGCUUGUCUCACCAAAUAGAUUAUAAGCGUCUUGAAGAAAAGAAC